CCUACGGGGCGCAGCAGUGGGGGAUAUUGCACAAUGGGGGAAACCCUGAUGCAGCGACACCGCGUGUGGGAAGACGGUCCUCUGGAUUGUAAACCACUGUCCCCAGGGACGAAGAUGACGGUACCUGGGGAGGAAGCUCCGGCUAACUACGUGCCAGCAGCCGCGGUAAUACGUAGGGAGCGAGCGUUGUCCGGAAUUACUGGGUGUAAAGGGCGUGUAGGCGGGACUGCAAGUCAGAUGUGAAACCCAUGGGCUCAACCCAUGGCCUGCAUUUGAAACUGUAGUUCUUGAGUGAUGGAGAGGCA
Molecule: ribosomal RNA, 305 nt
Filed under: uncultured bacterium
Lineage: Bacteria
Description: bacterial SSU rRNA
Rfam family: Bacterial small subunit ribosomal RNA
Source: RNAcentral